AACCUAGCACACCUGCGGUGUGUACCUGCGGAAGGAUCAUUACCUAGAGUUGUAGGCUUUGCCUGCUAUCUCUUACCCAUGUCUUUUGAGUACCUUACGUUUCCUCGGUGGGUUCGCCCACCGAUUGGACAAACUUAAACCCUUUGCAGUUGAAAUCAGCGUCUGAAAAGACUUAAUAGUUACAACUUUUAACAACGGAUCU
This 202-nucleotide unclassified non-coding RNA is filed under the name soil metagenome. RNAcentral describes it as "partial contains 5.8S ribosomal RNA, internal transcribed spacer 2, and large subunit ribosomal RNA". The record is from RNAcentral.